UACGAAGGGGGCUAGCGUUGCUCGGAAUCACUGGGCGUAAAGCGCACGUAGGCGGAUUGUUAAGUCAGGGGUGAAAUCCUGGAGCUCAACUCCAGAACUGCCUUUGAUACUGGCGAUCUUGAGUCCGGGAGAGGUGAGUGGAACUGCGAGUGUAGAGGUGAAAUUCGUAGAUAUUCGCAAAAACACCAGUGGCGAAGGCGGCUCACUGGCCCGGUACUGACGCUGAGGUGCGAAAGCGUGGGGAGCAAACAGG
Molecule: ribosomal RNA, 253 nt
Filed under: uncultured bacterium
Lineage: Bacteria
Description: partial 16S ribosomal RNA
Rfam family: Bacterial small subunit ribosomal RNA
Source: RNAcentral